UGUGCCAAGCAGCCGCGGUAAAACCAGCACCUCAAGUGGUCAGGAUGAUUAUUGGGCCUAAAGCAUCCGUAGCCGGCUCUGUAAGUUUUCGGUUAAAUCUGUACGCUCAACGUACAGGCUGCCGGGAAUACUGCAUAGCUAGGGAGUGGGAGAAGUAGACGGUACUCGGUAGGAAGUGGUAAAAUGCUUUGAUCUAUCGAUGACCACCUGUGGCGAGGGCGGUCUACUAGAACACGUCCGACGGUGAGGGAUGAAAGCUGGGGGAGCAAACCGGAUUAGAUACCCGGGUAGUCCCAGCUGUAAACUAUGCAAACUCAGUGAUGCAUUGGCUUGUGGCCAAUGCAGUGCUGCAGGGAAGCCGUUAAGUUUGCCGCCUGGGAAGUACGUACGCAAGUAUGAAACUUAAAGGAAUUGGCGGGGGAGCACCACAAGGGGUGAAGCCUGCGGUUCAAUUGGAGUCAACGCCAGAAAUCUUACCCGGAGAGACAGCAGAAUGAAGGUCAAGCUGAAGACUUUACCAGACAAGCUGAGAGGUGGUGCAUGGCCGUCGCCAGCUCGUGCCGUGAGAUGUCCUGUUAAGUCAGGUAACGAGCGAGAUCCCUGCCUCUAGUUGCCACCAUUACUCUCAGGAGUAGUGGGGCGAAUUAGCGGGACCGCCGCAGUUAAUGCGGAGGAAGGAAGGGGCCACGGCAGGUCUGUGAUGCCC
Molecule: ribosomal RNA, 706 nt
Filed under: uncultured eukaryote
Lineage: Eukaryota
Description: bacterial SSU rRNA
Rfam family: Archaeal small subunit ribosomal RNA
Source: RNAcentral